This 334-nucleotide small RNA is filed under the name Caenorhabditis elegans. RNAcentral describes it as "Unclassified non-coding RNA Y61A9LA.15". The record is from RNAcentral. Lineage: Eukaryota; Metazoa; Nematoda; Chromadorea; Rhabditida; Rhabditidae.
GCUGCUACCGAACCCGAAAAGGACCGGAUCGUCUUGCCACCGAACUUUAAUCGUUCUGAUCGUGAACGUAUGCUUCACUGUGACACUACCAUCACCGGGCUCCCCACAGCAAUUUUCUUCGGUAGUGGAUAUGGUCCACGUGAACAUUACGCAAAAUACUCGGCCGCCAAGGAUUUCUUUGAUAAAUGUCUUAAAAUUCGAGUUAUGGAUGAUGAAUUACACGCGGCGAUUGGUGAAUGGCCGAGAUUGGAUAGAACUUUUAAAACUCAGUUUAAAGUUAACAUUUCGAAGUCUGUGAACGCUGUGAUUCUGUUGAUAAAGCGAAUGGCAAAUG